This 148-nucleotide unclassified non-coding RNA is filed under the name soil metagenome. Its description in RNAcentral is "partial internal transcribed spacer 1". The record is from RNAcentral.
CCGAGUUUACAACUCCCAAACCCCUGUGAACAUACCACUUGUUGCCUCGGCGGAUCAGCCCGCUCCCGGUAAAAACGGGACGGCCCGCCAGAGGACCCCUAAACUCUGUUUCUAUAUGUAACUUCUGAGUAAAACCAUAAAUAAAUCA